GACGAACGCUGGCGGCGUGCUUAACACAUGCAAGUCGAACGGAAAGGCCCUGCUUUUGUGGGGUGCUCGAGUGGCGAACGGGUGAGUAACACGUGAGUAACCUGCCCUUGACUUUGGGAUAACUUCAGGAAGCUGGGGCUAAUACCGGAUAGGAGCUCCUGCUGCUUGGUGGGGGUUGGAAAGUUUCGGCGGUUGGGGAUGGACUCGCGGCUUAUCAGCUUGUUGGUGGGGUAGUGGCUUACCAAGGCUUUGACGGGUAGCCGGCCUGAGAGGGUGACCGGCCACAUUGGGACUGAGAUACGGCCCAGACUCCUACGGGAGGCAGCAGUGGGGAAUAUUGCACAAUGGGCGGAAGCCUGAUGCAGCAACGCCGCGUGCGGGAUGACGGCCUUCGGGUUGUAAACCGCUUUCGCCUGUGACGAAGCGUGAGUGACGGUAAUGGGUAAAGAAGCACCGGCUAACUACGUG
This 468-nucleotide ribosomal RNA is filed under the name uncultured bacterium. RNAcentral's name for it is "partial 16S ribosomal RNA". It matches the Rfam family "Bacterial small subunit ribosomal RNA", at positions 28 to 507 of the family's 1533-position model. The record is from RNAcentral.